Small nucleolar RNA from Callithrix jacchus (white-tufted-ear marmoset), 217 nucleotides. NCBI's taxonomy places the organism in Eukaryota, Metazoa, Chordata, Mammalia, Primates, Cebidae. The record is from Ensembl.
AAGACUAUACUUUCAGGGAUCAUUUCUAUAGUAUGUUACUAGAGAAGUUUCUCUGAAUGUGUAGAGCACCGGAAACCACGAGGAGGAGACGUAGUGUUCUUUCCUGAGCGUGAAGUUGGCUUUUGGUGUUGCAUUAGUGCAAUUGCCAUUUGCCGUUGAUGAUCGUUCUUCUCUCUUUUCGGGGGAGUAAGAGGGAAAGAACACAGUCUGAGUGGUU